Long non-coding RNA from Lemur catta (Ring-tailed lemur), 544 nucleotides. RefSeq lists it as uncharacterized. NCBI's taxonomy places the organism in Eukaryota, Metazoa, Chordata, Mammalia, Primates, Lemuridae. The transcript is spliced from 3 exons. The record is from RefSeq and is a predicted model, not a curated record.
GUUCCUCACAUUCAAAAGGUGGCUGGAGGCGCGCAACCUGCGGCGCUCGGCGGAGAGCGUCCUUUAAAGCCGCCGCCAGCCAGCGCCGCUGUAACCCCGCGCACCGGCAGGUCCCCGGCUCCUGCCCCUUUCUUUCAAUCUGCGCCGACGCGGCUGCCGGAUCCCGGGGACUCCCCGCGCCAGGAAUCUCCCGCCAGCUGCGCGCCGUCCCGGCGACAGCAGGAGCACGUGGAGCGGCCGGGUAGCCACAGUGGCAGCUCCAGCCCAGCCCGGCGGCGACAUGGAAGAUAUACAACCAAAUGUAGACCUGAAAAGCACUCAGGAGCAGUCUGUGCCCACAGAAAGUCCAACAGUUUUGAAUGACUACAAUUUAACCAAACCUCAUGAAAUAGAAAAUGUGGACAGUGCAGAAGGCCCAACCAAUGAAGAUGAAGACAUGGGAGGUGAGCCAUAGUGUACGGACCAGGCACUGAUGGUCACAGAUAUGGUUAAGGCUAAAAAUGAAGCAGAAAUCUGCUAUCCAAAGAAAACUUGCAUUUGUGGA